This is a long non-coding RNA of Equus quagga, 990 nucleotides long. RefSeq lists it as uncharacterized. The record is from RefSeq and is a predicted model, not a curated record. The transcript is spliced from 3 exons. Lineage: Eukaryota; Metazoa; Chordata; Mammalia; Perissodactyla; Equidae.
UCCCAGUCACCUACCGCUUCUUCCGGUUAGAAGAGCCUGCCGGGAAGCCAGCUGGCAAAAGAGCCUGGGAAAUUGUUUUUGCAGGGUUCCAACCCUGAGUGACACAGAGCAAAGAGAGCACAGAAGGGCAGAAAUGGAACUGAGAGAAAAGAGACAAAUUUCUGGCAAUAACCCCCACCUUAAGAAGGACUGAAGGGGAAGGGGGAGUGACCAGCUUUCAGAUGAGCCUCCAGGCCUGACUGACAGCUUGCUUGCAGCCUCAUGAAAGACUAAUGCAGCUAAGCCCCACCCGGAUUCCUGAUCUACAGACAUUGGGAGACAAGAAAUGCGAGUUGCUUUAAACUACUAAUUUUUUGAUACUCCCUUCCAGAACCCAACUGUCAUGCUGAGAGAAGCCCAAGCCACAAGGAGGAGCCAUAUACAGAAGCUUUGGUCAACCAACCUGGAGAAGCCCAACCUUUGAAUCAUCUCAGCCCAGGCUGCAAGCAUUUCUGGAGUUCUAAAGCCCAAAAUCCGUAUCAUGGAGUCAUGCUCCCUCUGCAGGAUCUAGGGGAGAACGUGUUCAUUGUCUCUUCUAGCUUCUGGUGGCUGUCGGCACUCUUUGGCUUGUGGCCACAUCACUCCAAUCUUCAAGGCGAGCAUCUUCAAAUCUCUCUGCUCUGUCUUCACAUCACCUUCUCCUGUGUGUGUGUGUAUCAAAUCUCCCUCUGACUUUCUCUUAUAGAGACACUUGCGAUUGCAUUUAGAGCCCACCUGGAUAAUCCAGGUAAGCUCCCCACCUCGAUAUCCUUAAUUUAAUCACAUCCACAAAGUCUUUUCCAUAUAAGGUUACAUUUAUAAGCUCCAUGAAUUAGGAUGUGACUAUCUUUCAAGGGGCCAUUUCUCACCCUACCACAGUGACCAGAAGUCCUAAUCCAAGCUGAGGGUGGUGAUGUGCCAAGGAUGAUUUUCCUGAAGAAGAGACUUUGAGCUGAUAACUGAACAAAGAGU